Molecule: ribosomal RNA, 425 nt
Filed under: uncultured bacterium
Lineage: Bacteria
Description: bacterial SSU rRNA
Rfam family: Bacterial small subunit ribosomal RNA
Source: RNAcentral
GGGGAAUCUUGCGCAAUGCGCGAAAGCGUGACGCAGCAACGCCGCGUGGGGGAAGAAGGCCUUCGGGUUGUAAACCCCUUUCAGGAGGGACGAAGCCUGGCUGGUGAAUAGCCAGUCCAGGUGACGGUACCUCCACAAGAAGCCCCGGCUAACUACGUGCCAGCAGCCGCGGUAAUACGUAGGGGGCAAGCGUUGUCCGGAAUCAUUGGGCGUAAAGAGCGCGUAGGCGGCCCAGUAAGUCCGCUCUGAAAGUCAGGGGCUCAACCCCUGAAUGCGGGUGGAUACUGCUGGGCUAGAGUCCGGAAGAGGCGAGUGGAAUUCCUGGUGUAGCGGUGAAAUGCGCAGAUAUCAGGAGGAACACCGAUGGCGAAGGCAGCUCGCUGGGACGGUACUGACGCUGAGGCGCGAAAGCGUGGGGAGCAAAC